RNAcentral lists this non-coding RNA (23 nucleotides) under Rattus norvegicus (Norway rat). Lineage: Eukaryota; Metazoa; Chordata; Mammalia; Rodentia; Muridae. The record is from RNAcentral.
AUAUUCAAAAUAGCGUGGAUGUC